This 406-nucleotide ribosomal RNA is filed under the name uncultured bacterium. RNAcentral's name for it is "partial 16S ribosomal RNA". It matches the Rfam family "Bacterial small subunit ribosomal RNA", at positions 30 to 526 of the family's 1533-position model. The record is from RNAcentral.
AUUGAACGCUGGCGGCAGGCCUAACACAUGCAAGUCGAACGAGUGGCGGACGGGUGAGUAAUGUCUGGGAAACUGCCUGAUGGAGGGGGAUAACUACUGGAAACGGUAGCUAAUACCGCAUACCAUCAGAUCUGCCCAGAUGGGAUUAGCUAGUUGGUGGGGUAACGGCUCACCAAGGCGACGAGCCCUAGCUGGUCUGCGAGGAUUACCAGCCACACUGGAACUGAGACACGGUCCAGACUCCUACGGGAGGCAGCAGUGGGGAAUAUUGCACAAUGGGCGUAAUCCUGAUGCAGCCAUGCCGCGGGUAGGAAGAAGGUCUUCGGGUUGUAAAGUACUUUCAGCGGGGAGGCGUUACCCGCAGAAGAAGCACCGGCUAACUCCGUGCCAGCAGCCGCGGUAAUUC